UUCUCAAUGAUUUCUUUCUGUUCAGCGUCAAAAGCAGACCAUCUUUCAUCUGAUCCAGCAAUAUCACCGGUCCCCACAUCUUGACAUAAAAGAACGGAUUUGUCACCGUAGCAUUUUAGUGUCCAAUACACUUUACCAUCAGUGCCUGAAAAGAAAGACUCCGUCCUAACAGCUUCAGAUCUUUUAUUACACUUGGAGUAGGUGUUCUUUGACUCCACCAAAGAAACAUGAGCUUCUGCUAAUUCACGUUUAAUUUCAGAAAAAAUUGCUUCAUGUUCUGAUAAUGAG
Molecule: unclassified non-coding RNA, 288 nt
Filed under: Hevea brasiliensis (rubber tree)
Lineage: Eukaryota; Viridiplantae; Streptophyta; Magnoliopsida; Malpighiales; Euphorbiaceae
Source: RNAcentral